This 3036-nucleotide long non-coding RNA is filed under the name Sus scrofa (pig). RNAcentral's name for it is "lncRNA (ENSSSCG00025000965.1)". Lineage: Eukaryota; Metazoa; Chordata; Mammalia; Artiodactyla; Suidae. The record is from RNAcentral.
ACUUCAGACUUGGACUGGAGCUAAAUCACCAGCUUUCCAGGGUCUCCAACUCACCAACUAUUGAACUUGGGACUUUGUAGCCUUCACAGUCAUCUGUGCUCCACGGUGACGCAGCCAUGCUGGACCAGUUCAGACUAAACACAUAUACAUCAUUGUCUUCAUGUGUGCUUCUAAUGUGUCCACAUCAAACUCUGGAGAGGACUCUUGGGGACAGUAAAUGGGGCUGAGACCACCUCGAAGUAAUUUUCAACGUGCGUACCUGUCAUCCUCCCGUCACAUCUCCUGGAGCAGCCUCAGGGCAAGCCCACCGGGGCAAUGAUUCCAUGUUUCCAUCCAACCGCUAAACUCAUCCUUCAUGACCUGGGCCCAGGCCAACUCACCAGAUCGAGCUCCUAAGAAGAGAGCAUAUUGUGUGGUUGACAGGAAUUCCACUGAGAAGAGCUGGUCACCUCUUGGCUUCUUUAAUUGUUCCUCAUAAGGAACAUUUACGAUAUCAUGACGGGUGUUUGGAGGGAUGUUCAGACAGUAAUUUACUUGGGGGUAGAAAAACCAACCUUAUAAACACUGAAAAGAAGACAAAGCAUAUCAAAGGUUGCAUUUUUCUCUUUCACUCAAUAUUGAACAAAUAUUUAUUAAAUAUCCACCAUGUGUCAGACAUUACUCUGUGCUCUGGAGGCUCAAGGAAAUGAGAAUCAAUUGUGCCUUCAUCAAAAUCCCAGCUAACCAGGCAGGCAGUGUGAUAAGCUCUCUGGUCAGCUAAGUACACAUGCAGACCAGAUUCCCACUGAGGACUUGGGAAGGUUCUCAAGCAAAUGGUAAUUCAGCCGAGACUUAAGGGAUCAUCUCAGAGUUACUUAUGAGAGAACAGGCAGCACACAUAUGGGAAAAGUGUGUUCCUAUUAGAAAAGGGUGUAUAAGAAAGCAUAGGGAUAAAAAAAAAAAUAGCGCUGGUCAUUAAAAAUGACAAAUCAAGUGAUGGCAGCUGGAACACUGAGUGUGCAGAAAAGUGGCCAUGGGGAGGCUGCAUAAGUAGACAGGGAACCCCACAAUGAAGGGACUUAGAAGCAAUAUUGGGACAUUCAGACUUUUUCCUAAGAGCACAAAAGAGCCAGUAAAGCCCUUUAAGCAAGAUCCUAACCACAAAUCCUAAAUAAAAAUGCUUGUAGAAGGGUCAUAUCUGCCACAUUCAUUCGAUCAGAGUCUACCAAGUUCCAGACUCUAGGCUGGCCCUUGCAUGGACUGUACAUCAUCAACUGAAUCUAAGAAAACUUAAGAAAGCUCUCUUUCAGAGUUUGCCAAAGUCUGAAAAAAAGAGGGGAAACAGAAAGAAGAGUAGAUUAGUGUGAUGCUUAGUUUUAUGGGUCAAUAGGCUCAGAGGUGGUGCCCAGUGGUUUGGUCAAACUGUAGUUUAGAUGUUGCUAUGAAGGUCUUUUGUAGAUAUGAUAAACAUUUAUAAUCAGUUGACUUAAAUAAAGCACAUCAUCCUCUUUCGUGUAAGGGGCCUCAUCCAAUCAGCCAAGAGCCUGAGGUGCAAAAAUCAAGGUUUCCCAGAGAAACAGGAAUUCUGCCUCAAGACUAUAACAUGGAAACUCUGCCUGAAUUUCCAGUCGGCUGACCUUCCCUGAGGCUUUGAGACUCAAGACUGCUACAGCAACAUUUACGUGAAUGUCCAGCCUGCCAGCCCCAAUAAUCACUUACUUAAAAUUAAUCUCUAGAUAAAUUGACAGUAGAUAGAUAUAAGGAAAUGUAUACACACACACACAGUUGGUUCCAUAUCUGUAUCAUCAGAUCUCUGACUUCUAUAACCAGGAGUCUGAAAACCCACUCCAAUCUCCCCUCUCUAUCAUCUGACUUCUCUGAGCCCAUUGUCUCAUCAGCAUAAUAGAGACUAAUCACCCUCCUUUAGCACCAUGGCUGGCACAUAGUAGGUGCUUCAAAUCAUUUCUUUUCCCCUUUCCUUGAUUGAUUGAUAGGAUAGCUACAUAUCCAAUGAAGGGGCAUUUUUCUGCUGACACAGGCUGCACUUGAUGAAAUCUGAUCUAGAAUGGGAAAUACUAAACAAAAUAAAAAAGAAUUUACUCUCCGAGUAUUAUUGCCACUGUGAUGGAUGGCUGCUCCAAAGGCUAUUUCUCAAGAGUUCACAGUAGAGAAAAAUGUUCAGGCUUGAUUUUGUAUGCGUGUAGAAAAUAAAUUGUAUGACAAGGGUGGCGACAUUUGGACGGGGGAGAGGGCUUAGCCAAGGAAUUAAACAUGUCAGGAGCCUCCAAAGAAAAAGAAUGUUGAAAUGGAAGGUGAAAGGGGCAUAUUUGGAAAACUUGACAAGUGGCACAGUGGGAGGAAAGGUGGCAUUCUGGAAUGGGGUGUCAGCCACUCUCUGCCACUAAAGCCACGAUUUGCCCUUAAUAAUUCAGCGAGGUAGAAAGGAAAAAAUAUGAGCCCAACUUCUAAAGCUCUAUUAUCACAACUGGCUUAAAUUAUUUUCCCUUGCUUAAUUGACCACACAGCAAACAGAGAGAGAAUAAAAUCAGCCAGGGCUUUUUUUUUUUUUUUUUUUUUCUUUUAAAUGGAAUCUUUGCCUAGGUAAUCUCUCAAGUUCCUGUCAACAAAACUCCCAACAUUAGAAAUAAACGAGACCCUGGGAGACAAAAUAACUGGAAUAAUGUCACACAGAACAUAAGUAGAAAACCCAAGUAGAAAACCCAGGCCUGGGAGCUCCCAACCUCAGGGCUUUGCAAGGAAUGAAGAGUAUUAUCCUGGCAAGGAUGGCACACAGGUUGCAGUCAGCACACCAACUUUAAUUGAUUAAUUGUGCUGGGUUGAGGUGUGUGAGAGCAAAUGCAGGUUCACCAUGAAAGCAGGGCUUAAUUGAUUAGUGAUAUCUGUCAUGGGAGCCAGAGGUUCUCCAGGCAGGCCAAAUAUUUGUCAUUCCUUAUCUGGUCUAACUUUUUCUUUUUUCCCCUGUAUUACAGGUCUGCAAAAUAUAGCUGGUGGGCCAAAUUGGGCCUACUGCCUGUUUUUAUAAAUAAAAUUUUACUA